This is a long non-coding RNA of Bradysia coprophila, 926 nucleotides long. The record is from RefSeq and is a predicted model, not a curated record. Lineage: Eukaryota; Metazoa; Arthropoda; Insecta; Diptera; Sciaridae.
CCUUCGUUCGCCAUCAAAAAGUAAUUAGCGAGACGAAGUGAUAUACAGUCCACAAAUCAAUUAUAACAAGUUCAAGUGCGACAGUUUCAAUCGGUGCGACAAACUGUUCUAAAAGUACGGGUGCCUGAGAAUUGGCCGGUUAAAUUUGAAAAUUCCGAGGAGUGGAAAUAGUUUGGUUCAUGGAAAUUAAAAUCGUCAAAUCCACUAAUUCAAAGAAAAAACCGAAAAUCGUUGGACAAUAGCCGUCGAAGAAAAGUUCUUGUGCGCAGAGUGGUACAAGGUCACUGAGUUGGUGGGAAUUUCCAGUUGAAAUUCGUUCGACGAAGAUAUUACGGCAAAGCAAGAUCAGCGAGUUGGUGGGAAUUUCCAGUUGAAAUUCGUCGAAGAAAAGUUGCUGUGCGCAGAGUGGUACAAGGUCACCGAGUUGGUGGGAAUUUCCAGUUGAAAUUCGUCGAAGAAAAGUUGCUGUGCGCAGAGUGGUACAAGGUCACUGAGUUGGUGGGAAUUUCCAGUUGAAAUUCGUUCGACACAGGGUCAUCACACAUAUACCGUUCCGAAGCAGUCUCGAAGUAAGCCAAUCGAUUGGAACAGUGAAAGGGGUCAUCAAACGUUGAGCGCCAGGCAGUAUUCAGAUCCAGAUGCAUAAAGUUCCAGUACCUUUAAGAGGGCCGUUUUAUAUCCCUAGUAUUGCCCAAUCAUCGUCACUAGGGUGAUGCAAAAGGGAAGUUAAAGAAAAUUUCAUUUCACAAUUCACAUGAUGCUUACCGCAUAACACAUUUUCAGUAGAUUUGGUAGUAGCUGCAGUUUCAUAUUCCAAUGGUGGUAGGCAGCCGGGCAGUCAAUUAUUCCACUGGUCCAGACGAUCAACAAUUUAAUCCACUGGUCCAGACGAUCAACAAUUUAAUCAAUUGGUCCAGACGAUCAUC